AUCCUGGCUCAGAAUGAACGCUGGCAGCAUGGAUUAGGCAUGCAAGUCGAACGAGAAUCCGGGCUUCGGCCCGGAGGAGAGUGGCGCAAGGGUGAGUAACACGUGAGUAAUCUGCCCCGAAGUCUGGGAUAGCCCAUGGAAACGUGGAUUAAUACCGGAUGUGGCUGUAUGAACUGCGGUUCUAACAGUUAAAGAUUCAUCGCUUCGGGAUGAGCUCGCGGUCCAUCAGCUUGUUGGUGAGGUAACGGCUCACCAAGGCGACGACGGAUAGCUGGUCUGAGAGGAUGACCAGUCACACUGGGACUGAGACACUGCCCAGACUCCUACGGGAGGCUGCAGUCGAGAAUCUUCCGCAAUGGGCGCAAGCCUGACGGAGCGAUGCUGCGUGCCGGACGAAGGCCUUCGGGUCGUAAACGGCUGUCACUCGGGACGAAUUUUGACGGUACCGAGAGAGGAAGCCACGGCUAACUACGUGCCAGCAGCCGCGGUAAUACGUAGGUGGCGAGCGUUAUUCGGAAUUAUUGGGCCUAGAGGGUUCGUAGGGGGUAAUGUAAGUCCGGUGUGAAAUCUCGAGGCUCAACCUCGAAACUGCAUUGGAAACUGCAUUACUUGAGUGUCAGAGAGGAAAGCGGAAUUCCUGGUGUAGCGGUGGAAUGCGUAGAUAUCAGGAAGAACACCGACGGCGAAGGCAGCUUUCUGGCUGGCAACUGACCCUGAUGAACGAAAGCUAGGGUAGCGAACAGGAUUAGAUACCCUGGUAGUCCUAGCUGUAAACGUUGUGCACUGGAUGUGGGCGGAUUUGGUCCCGUCUGUGUCUGAGCGAAGGCGCUAAGUGCACCGCCUGGGGACUACGGNCGCAAGGCUAAAACUCAAAGGAAUUGACGGGGGCCCGCACAAGCGGUGGAGCCUGUGGCUCAAUUCGAGGCAACGCGAAGAACCUUA
This 942-nucleotide ribosomal RNA is filed under the name uncultured organism. Its description in RNAcentral is "bacterial SSU rRNA". It matches the Rfam family "Bacterial small subunit ribosomal RNA", at positions 16 to 973 of the family's 1533-position model. The record is from RNAcentral.